Cannabis sativa is the source of this 2272-nucleotide long non-coding RNA. RefSeq lists it as uncharacterized. The record is from RefSeq and is a predicted model, not a curated record. The transcript has 5 exons. NCBI's taxonomy places the organism in Eukaryota, Viridiplantae, Streptophyta, Magnoliopsida, Rosales, Cannabaceae.
UAAAGAAACCCUAAUUUCAUCACUCGAUCCAGCUAAGCUUCUUCAACCGCAGCUUUGUGCGAAUCUGAUCAGUCGCUCUCUCUCGUUUCCUCUCCUUCUCGCACUCUCUCUCGUUUCCUCUCCUGAUCUCGCACUCUCUCUCAGGGAUCACUCUCCAGUUCUAUCGGCUCAUCUCUGACCAAGCCCACAAGAGUCGACGACAACAGACGACUCGAAGAAGACGACUCCAACUCCCCCACUCGCAGACGAUGAUGGCGCAGCUUCUCCCCUACUUUUGGUUAUUCUGCUUGAUUGGGUUGGGAGAUUUUUCUUUACUGUUCUAUGGGUUUUCAAUAGAACAACCCCAGGUCCGACACUUCUCGUUGAUUCUCUACCACAAUCAACUCUUUCUGCCUAAACAACAAAAUCUCUCAGAAUCGCCAUCUACCUCUCUUGGGCCACCCCAAUCCAGAAUCAAACACAACCCAGAUGGUUUAAGAGAUAAACAAAUUUAAGCUUCUAAGGCAGAGCAUACAAAAAAGAGGAAUUGGUCGAGGAGUAGUGAUGACGAUAAUGAUACUGAUAACGAGAAAAGCAAAGAAAAGAGGAAAAAAGGAAAGAAAGCUUCAGCUUCGGUCUCUGAUCAUAAAGUCGACGAUGACGAUCACUUUGAUGAAUAUCUUGAAGGAAUGUUUCCUUAAACAGCUAACAUAAUUAACUGGCAGCUACAACACCCUGAUCAAUCUCCCUCCUAUAAACUUAAGUCGAAAAUUAUGCUCUUCUGGGCGACGGGUGCAAAUGAAUUGUCAAAAGUAGCUUUGCCAUUUUCAAGCAGAAAGGUUUUGAUGUGGAAAAUUCUUUCCUUUAUUGUUGCUUUGUAAGUAAUUAAUUUCUCAUGGUAGUUGGCUUGAAACUUUGGUCUCUACACUCUAGAGGCUGAUAGUAUAAUCAAUAAUUGGAAAAUAUUUGGUGGUUUUUGGGCAUUAGAAUAAAUGCAAAAGGUCAUCUUGAUGUGUCAUAUGCUACCUAUAUUGUGAAUAUAUAUAUAUGUAUGUAUAUAUAUAUAUAUUAUGGUAUGUACAUUAGCAAAAAUCAUAGACUUAUUCAAACUAAUAGUUGAAGUGAUGUGAUGAUACAUUUUAUGAUUAUACCUUCUUUAUUUAGUGAUGUGUUAAAUGUAUUUCCAUAAUCAUGAAUGUACUGCAGAAAUUGAUUUUUACUUCAAAAAAAAAAAGAAGCUAGUGUAAUUAUACACUUGAAGAAACUUAAUAAUUGGGUGUGUCUUGUUAUCUCUUAGAAUUAUACAAUGCUGAAUUAUUUUAAUAUUGCUUUCUGAUGAAUGAUUCUAAUUCUCUCUUUUACGACAGAUUAAAAGUGUCUGAUGUUCCCUUAUAUUGAUAUAGUAAACAAAUUUAAUUACUAUAUCUUUUAUAAUUUAUUUUUGUGAUUUCAGUUAUAUUUCUGGUUUGAAAUUAUUCAUAAUAUGCUUGGUUCAAUAUUUUACCAUGUUUCUUUUUUUUCUUGAUGGCAGUGAUAUAUUUGGUGCUAUAUGGAUUGUGAUGUUUUCUUUCUUUCACUUGGAUUGGUACUCUCAAAGAAAAAAGAUUGGUAGUUUCUGUCAAAGGAGCAAAGGAAGCUAUUUGCUUAAUUGAGAAUUUCUAAGAAAGGGAAAAUUAUAUCUGUUGCUUCUUGGAACGACAGCUCUCAGUCUGGUAACAACGCCACUGCUCUUCAAGUUGAUUCCUGCCGUUGUUCAUCUUGGGGUCUUAUUGCGGUGGUUUUCUCCAGAUAGCCCGAGUGAGAUUGGAUAUAUAUAAAGGGGAUAAUCUUUGGUCAGACAGUGCUAAGCGUAUUGCUAUCUUGGUCCACGGCUCUCAUGAUUCAUGAUAUUAAACAUAAAAAUAUGAAAUGGUCAAGGAACGGACUGCGAAUGCCAACGAUUUCGUCAACGGUGGAUCUCAUGUGAUGGAAUAUGGGAGUAGAAGUAUAAGAGCAGAGAAGCUCUAUCUCUACCAAAAGGUUUUGAUCCUGCCACUGUUAACUUCCCACCCAACAAUAACAAACUACACAUGGCUAUGGAAGUUGUGAACCAAAGAGAUGCAGCUAUACUUCUAGAUUUGCUCAUGUGUGCACUUAAAAAUGUGACUCAAUAUUUAUGAAUUGAUGCAUGUACAAAUUUAAUAACUUUAACCAUUUGUUGUUUUUUUUUAAAAAAUAGUUUGUUGUACGUACUUAAAGAUUGUACUAUAAUAUAUAUUUCAUUAUAUAAAGAAAAAAGAAAUUAUUACCAUUA